Molecule: non-coding RNA, 24 nt
Filed under: Arabidopsis thaliana (thale cress)
Lineage: Eukaryota; Viridiplantae; Streptophyta; Magnoliopsida; Brassicales; Brassicaceae
Source: RNAcentral
CGAGUCCUUCUGCUUUGGGUGGCC